CCUACCAUAGUGGGUAUAUUACUUCUUAAAAAUCCCUAUGGCUUGUUUUUUUAUAUAAUAAUUGAAUUCUAUACAUUAACUUUAUUGAACAAAGUACAAGUUUUUAAAUUUACGCUUAGAAUUAUUGCCUUAAAAUAUAUUACUAACCGACUUUACGACUACGAAAACGAAGUUACUCAGAAGUUUAAAGAAGAUUAAUAAUGAACUAGUGCCUAGUGGCUACUACACUAUCUAGCCAUUCAUUUGUACCCUUAUAGCUUAAUAUGUCUAGAAUCCCAUUUGCUUUUGAAUAAUAAUGCUUUCAAAAAUAUUACCACAAAAAAAACAAACGCAAAGAAAGUUUUUGAUCCAUAAUUUCGCUAUUCAAAACAACGAGUAUUCGAAUUUCACUGAAAAAAUCCUAUUGAUUUUGUUUU
This is a non-coding RNA of Cinara cedri, 416 nucleotides long. Lineage: Eukaryota; Metazoa; Arthropoda; Insecta; Hemiptera; Aphididae. The record is from the annotation of a GenBank genome assembly.